AUACUUGAGUUUCAGUUUGGUGUAUUUGUGGUUGGGUGAUCUAGUUCUUGGUCUAAGAUUCUAAAUGGCCUUAUUAGAAAGAAGAAAAAAACUUAUUGUAAUGUUCUAUUGUUAGAGUACUGCUUGUACUGAAUAUAUUAUAAAGAACCUUAUAUACCUUUUGCUAUUUAAAAAAAAGAAGACUAAUUCUUCUUUCUUUGUAUUUGGUUUUAAACUUCAUGAAAUUCUCUAGCACUUUAUGUGUCUUUCCUUCAAUUUUUGAUUUAUGCUUCUUAGAUGACAAGGAUUAAAAAGCAGUCAACAUUUUUGCAAGAUUGGAGCAAGAUUAUUGAGAGAAAAGUGAAGUAGUUUGCGGUGGACACUUACUGGAUUUGUUGUUUAAAGAAUUGCAUUUGCGAUCAUUCCUCUUUUGGUAACAAUGAAAAUGAUGAUAAAUUAUUUCAAGUUGACGAUGAAGGCGAUGAAUUUGAAGAGGAUGACAUAGAUGACAAAUUUGAAGAGGACAACGUAGAUGCUAAAUAUGAAGAACACACACUUGAAUGAUUUAGAUGAUGAUUUUAGAUUAUGCUUUUUUGGAUGAUGUUUUUUUACUAGGCAUGUACUUGAUUGAAGCAUCAAAACUUCAACAAACUAUAUAUUUUGCUAGACUUAGUCCUUUAAGUAUUAAACUUUAUUUGAAUACUACCAUUUAUUUGUUUACUAUAUAUGUUACUAAUCUUAGACAAUUUGUUUAUUACCAUUUAUUUGAAUACAACUUUGUUAAUAAUUUGUGUUAAA
Cicer arietinum (chickpea) is the source of this 777-nucleotide long non-coding RNA. RefSeq lists it as uncharacterized. Lineage: Eukaryota; Viridiplantae; Streptophyta; Magnoliopsida; Fabales; Fabaceae. The record is from RefSeq and is a predicted model, not a curated record.